UGUCCUCCUCACUCGCUACGCUUCUCACCCAGACAGCACUCGGCCCUUCCUUUACCUCCGUGCGUCUCUUCAGCUCCUGAGCGUCGCGCUGCCAACAUGAAGUUCAUCGCGUCUGGUGUCUUGCUGUUGCUGCUGCUGUGUGUUGUGGUCGAGUCGGGACGUGCAAGCACCGUUGCACCGAGGAACUGCCCCCGACCGGAUCCUAAAAUUGUUUGCAUCCGCAAUCGAAUGGAAUGUGAACAGAAUGACCCUUCUUCCUGUCCCCGUGGCAAGCAGUGCUGUGCAGGCGCGUGCGGUUUUCAGUGUGUCUCGAUGUCCAGUAAUCAUUAAU
Molecule: long non-coding RNA, 331 nt
Organism: Scylla paramamosain (green mud crab)
Lineage: Eukaryota; Metazoa; Arthropoda; Malacostraca; Decapoda; Portunidae
Exons: 3
Source: RefSeq, a predicted model, not a curated record